Molecule: long non-coding RNA, 1433 nt
Organism: Centrocercus urophasianus (Greater sage-grouse)
Lineage: Eukaryota; Metazoa; Chordata; Aves; Galliformes; Phasianidae
Exons: 9
Source: RefSeq, a predicted model, not a curated record
ACGGUCCAGGAUUAGAGUUCUGUAUUAAAGCUAGGAGACAAAUGAACGGCUACAAAACGAAUGACGAGACUUCAGCGGGGAGAAGCAUGGCUUGUGUUCCUGUUUUUCGGAGUUUUUCAAGUUAUUGUUGUAACCGGACCUAUGGAUUGUCUGAGAAGGAAGGAUUAGACACAAGUGGGAUUUGUUAAAACCACACAUUUCAGAUGUAACAAAGACGUCAUUUGUUCAACUGGAGAAGUUGAGUGGACACCUACACUAGGACAGUGGGAAUCUGCUCCUAAUUGUCAGGGAAGAUGACUUACUGCCGAAUAACAGGAGGAAUGCUGUUGGUUUCCUUGUAAAUCCUCUAGUGUUGCCAAAUGAGAGCACGGGGGAAAUAGUUUGCUACGUGCGAUGACUCAGUGGAUUUCAGCCGUUCGGCGGUGCCGGGAAGCCACUCCAGCCACUCAGGCCAAUCCUACAGCCGCUGCUCGUAACACCCGAAAGAGCGCAGCGACUGGAGAGUAAACGAACAGAGAGAGAGAAUUGAAGAGAGAUUUCUGUAGGUGUCCUAUUUUGACUGCCUUCUCUUCCAACGUCAGUGUAAAAUACUGAAGAAACCACAGCAGUCCUUUCGCAGUGUUUCUCUAUACAACGCCAAAAGGAUUGCACAAAUGUCCAUUUGUCCGUGUGUAACAAAACUGUGGCAAAAGCACGGUGACUAAGUAUUCAGGAACUGAGGACGUGGUACGAGAGAAUCUGCCUCCUGUUCCAGCCGCAGACCGUUCCUUUUGAGGGCGACGGAUUUGUUACCCGGCUACCAGUUCUGCGACCAGCUAUUGUGGUACGAUCAUCAGAAGCUCUUUCCCAGGAAGCCCACGCUUCUGCUCAUACAAAAACCGAACCAGAAUUGGCCAGCGAUGCUAAUGAGAGCUUCUGGAUAAUACGAGAUCAGUGGAAUCGUGAUUUUGAGACAAGCAGUGUGCACGGCCCGACGGCACAUGUGAAUGCUGUCUGAGUUCCGCUACAUCCAGCAGUACGCACGGCGUUUGGGAAGUCAGGCCUUACCUGGACCAAGGUGACAGUGCAGCUGGGGGAUGUCCCAAACUCAGGUCCCUCGCCUUCAACUUCAGGAAGCUCUACCAAAUUCAAGAAGGAACACGAUUCUGAAAUUCAACCGCAACGCGGCACACCCAGGAAGCACACCACACAAUUCAGCUCAAAAACAGAUGCAUCAUCACCUGCUUCCCAGCACUCGGAAGCAACCUCAGACGUUUCCAGUUUUUGGGGGAAGCACACGGAAAUGGGAAGAACAGAGCCACGCAUAGACGUUCUUCUUGAUGCAAACCUGGAGAAGAACAGACUGACCUUUUCCACCAGCUACACUGGAAAAGAAGUUGUUGAGAGCAGAGCAGCAACUUUCCUUCUAGGUAAGCAAGGCUCCCCAGCACCCC